This 657-nucleotide long non-coding RNA is filed under the name Musa acuminata (dwarf banana). RNAcentral describes it as "long non-coding RNA (MACU_LNC003601)". Lineage: Eukaryota; Viridiplantae; Streptophyta; Magnoliopsida; Zingiberales; Musaceae. The record is from RNAcentral.
UGCAGUAUCAACAUUAAUCCUGCAUUAACCAUCGAAGGUUUUAUGCGCAUAUAUGGAGAGCUAAAAAUCCAGAGAAAAAAAGGAAAACCAAAGGCCGAAGAUGAUCCAACUCACCUUUUGUUCUCAUCACAUUCUUGUCCUCCAUGGCUGCAGUGCAAAGCUGAAGUUGGCCCAUUCUUGUCCUUUUGGCUUUUGUCGCUGUUGGCAGUUGGCAGAUUCAUGGAUGAGAGUGGUGAGGGGGAUAAAGAUGAGUGAUUGCCUGCUUCGAUCUUUUUGCCCGAUGCAGCUAAGUGCUUGCUGCUUGCCUCCAACUUUUGGCGCAGUGGGGAGGGUCAUGCCGGUGCAGGCUCCUCCGCGGCCACAAGACACUCCUCGUUUCUGAGACCUUUAGUCUUUCCGGGUGUGGAGAAUGGAGAAGUUGUCAGCGCACGAUGGUGCCAUUGUCGAUUUGCCUGCAGCAUCAACAUGAAAAAUGCGGCAACAGCAGUGAGAUCUGCAGCUUUAUCUGCUCCGACGACUGCUCUCUCUUCCCACCAUUUGUGCUCUUCGCUGCACUCUCUUUAUCCCAAAUUGGUUCACAUAUUCUAAUUUUCUUGUGUACAGUAUGUUGGGCAAAAACUAUGUAUUUAUCCUUUAAUUAUCAAGAUUUAAUCUCCA